UUGGGAAAUUCCAUCAGAAUUUUGGGAAUUUUGGGGAUUUCAGGUGGGGUACGAGCUGAAGGAGGAGAUCGAGCGCAAGUUCGACAAGUGGCGGGAACCC
Molecule: non-coding RNA, 100 nt
Organism: Taeniopygia guttata (zebra finch)
Lineage: Eukaryota; Metazoa; Chordata; Aves; Passeriformes; Estrildidae
Source: RefSeq, a predicted model, not a curated record